UAGGGAAUCUUCCACAAUGGACGCAAGUCUGAUGGAGCAACGCCGCGUGAGUGAAGAAGGCUUUCGGGUCGUAAAACUCUGUUAUUGAAGAAGAACGUGUGUGACAGUAACUGGUCAUGCAGUGACGGUAUUCAAUCAGAAAGUCACGGCUAACUACGUGCCAGCAGCCGCGGUAAUACGUAGGUGGCAAGCGUUGUCCGGAUUUAUUGGGCGUAAAGCGAGUGCAGGCGGUCUUUUAAGUCUGAUGUGAAAGCCUUCGGCUUAACCGAAGAAGGGCAUCGGAAACUGGGAGACUUGAGUGCAGAAGAGGAGAGUGGAACUCCAUGUGUAGCGGUGAAAUGCGUAGAUAUAUGGAAGAACACCAGUGGCGAAGGCGGCUCUCUGGUCUGUAACUGACGCUGAGGCUCGAAAGCGUGGGUAGCAAAACA
This 428-nucleotide ribosomal RNA is filed under the name uncultured bacterium. RNAcentral describes it as "partial 16S ribosomal RNA". It matches the Rfam family "Bacterial small subunit ribosomal RNA", at positions 355 to 775 of the family's 1533-position model. The record is from RNAcentral.